CCUACGGGCGGCUGCAGUGGGGAAUAUUGCACAAUGGGCGCAAGCCUGAUGCAGCCAUGCCGCGUGUGUGAAGAAGGCCUUCGGGUUGUAAAGCACUUUCAGCGGGGAGGAAGGCGUUAAGGUUAAUAACCUUGUCGAUUGACGUUACCCGCAGAAGAAGCACCGGCUAACUCCGUGCCAGCAGCCGCGGUAAUACGGAGGGUGCAAGCGUUAAUCGGAAUUACUGGGCGUAAAGCGCACGCAGGCGGUCUGUCAAGUCGGAUGUGAAAUCCCCGGGCUCAACCUGGGAACUGCAUUCGAAACUGGCAGGCUAGAGUCUUGUAGAGGGGGGUAGAAUUCCAGGUGUAGCGGUGAAAUGCGUAGAGAUCUGGAGGAAUACCGGUGGCGAAGGCGGCCCCCUGGACAAAGACUGACGCUUAGGUGCGAAAGCGUGGGGAGCAAACAGGAUUAGAUACCCGUGUAGUC
RNAcentral lists this ribosomal RNA (465 nucleotides) under uncultured Klebsiella sp. Its description in RNAcentral is "bacterial SSU rRNA". It matches the Rfam family "Bacterial small subunit ribosomal RNA", at positions 338 to 795 of the family's 1533-position model. The record is from RNAcentral. Lineage: Bacteria; Pseudomonadati; Pseudomonadota; Gammaproteobacteria; Enterobacterales; Enterobacteriaceae.